CUACGGGUUGCUGCAGUGGGGAAUAUUGGGCAAUGGGCGCAAGCCUGACCCAGCAACGCCGCGUGAGGGAAGAAGGUUCUCGGAUUGUAAACCUCUGUCCUUGGGGACGAAGAAAGUGACGGUACCCAAGGAGGAAGCUCCGGCUAACUACGUGCCAGCAGCCGCGGUAAUACGUAGGGAGCAAGCGUUGUCCGGAAUUACUGGGCGUAAAGGGUGCGUAGGCGGCAUAUUAAGUCAGGUGUGAAAUAUUCGGGCUCAACCCGAAGGGUGCAUUUGAAACUGGUAUGCUUGAGUGUGAGAGAGGAAAGUGGAAUUCCUAGUGUAGCGGUGAAAUGCGUAGAUAUUAGGAGGAACACCAGUGGCGAAGGCGACUUUCUGGCUCAUAACUGACGCUGAGGCACGAAAGCGUGGGUAGCAAACAGGAUUAGAUACCCUUGUAGUC
Molecule: ribosomal RNA, 442 nt
Filed under: uncultured bacterium
Lineage: Bacteria
Description: partial 16S ribosomal RNA
Rfam family: Bacterial small subunit ribosomal RNA
Source: RNAcentral